CUCAAGGUCUGGGCCCCAGGGCCUGACGGUGAGUAUGCCCAUAAGGCCCACUCAUAAGUUCCACCCACCCAUAAGUUCGCUCACAGGGAGAGGAGUGUGUAGGGGAUGUGUUAUGUGUUAUUGUAGAGCAUCUAAUAUGUGUGCUUAUGGUAUGUAGUGUAUAGGGUUACCAGUUUGUGCAGGUGAUGUAGUGUGUUUGUGUGUAGUGGAAGCAGUGUGUAUUUGUGUAUAAGGGAUGUAUUAUGUGUUUCUGGUUGUGUGUAAGAGAUGCAUUGUGUUUCUGUGUGUAUGUAAGAAAAGAAGUGUGUG
Molecule: non-coding RNA, 309 nt
Organism: Pelobates cultripes (western spadefoot toad)
Lineage: Eukaryota; Metazoa; Chordata; Amphibia; Anura; Pelobatidae
Source: the annotation of a GenBank genome assembly